UUUGCAAUAUUUGAUGGCCAUUUGAGCCACGAGAUUCCUGAGUACCUCCGCUCUCAUCUAUUCAACAAUAUUCUCAAUGAGCCUAACUUCUGGGCUGAACCGGAGUCUGCAAUCAGGAAAGCCUACCGUAUAACAGAUACAACUAUUUUGGAUAAGGCUGCUGAUUUGGGUAAAGGAGGAUCCACUGCUGUUACAGCCAUAUUGAUUAAUGGUCAGAAACUAGUUGUUGCUAAUGUCGGAGAUUCUCGUGCCGUCAUUUACAAAAAUGGAGUGGCCAAGCAGCUGUCCAUCGAUCAUGAGCCUGGCAGGGAGAGGGAGAUCAUCGAGGGCAAAGGUGGUUUCGUGUCCAAUUUUCCAGGUGAUGUUCCUCGGGUUGAUGGGCAGUUAGCAGUAGCAAGAGCAUUUGGCGACAAGAGCUUGAAGAUGCAUUUAAGUUCAGAGCCAGAUGUAGUGGUAGAGCUCAUAGAUGAUGACACAGAGUUUCUCAUUUUGGCUAGUGACGGCGUAUGGAAGGUACUGUCGAAUCAGGAAGCUGCAGAUUGCAUUAAAGAUAUUAAGGAUGCGCGAUCAGCUGCAAAGCAUCUCAAUGAACAUGCUCUUGCAAGGGGAAGUACCGAUGAUAUAUCCUGCGUAGUUGUAAGGUUCCAAUAAUCUUCUCUCUCUGCACUUGUUAGAUGAUGAAACGUGUGCUUAGAUCGUAUAGUUUCUUUGAAAUGUAAAAUCUGAACUAGUACUUGCUUUUGUCGAUGGUUUGGUUGGUCGUGUUACUGUAUAAACGUUUUAAAGUUCCAACAUCAGGAGCUGUUCGCACACGAACUUCAAAUAAACGGAAUGUUGUUUGCUAGG
This 846-nucleotide unclassified non-coding RNA is filed under the name Hevea brasiliensis (rubber tree). The record is from RNAcentral. Lineage: Eukaryota; Viridiplantae; Streptophyta; Magnoliopsida; Malpighiales; Euphorbiaceae.